GCCUUUCUGGAGUCGUCCAAACAUAUUGGGGGUCAUCGGUCCUUGUCCAAUGCUUCCUUUUUAGAAAGCCAAUCCAGGGAAAUCAAGAUGAAAUGGAGCUGUCUCAGCCCUAUGUUCAACUUGUUAGACUCAAUGUACUGAAGGAGUGUUAGCGAGAAGCUUUCUGACAGAGCUCAAGUUGAUGGGAUGAAUUCACGUGCAGGUCCCCUCUUCAUGGAUCAAUCAACAAGGUCUUUGUCCUCUGAUGUUUCACAAUGGCUCAUUUGGUUUCAAUGGAUCCUCUUGUGGGCAGGACCUAACAGCGUUUUACACCAAUUAAUGCUUCUUUCCUGUUUGGUCAAAAGUCUGGAGGCUUAUUUUACUCUCACACCACCAUUUUACAUGGGUCUGACUCUACUGGCAUCACCAGAUUUGCACCUUUGUCACUCACUGCAGCCUGAAAAGAUGGGAAAACGUUCCCCCAAGCCUCACAGCUUCAGUCAUGGUUAAAUCAGAAUACUAAUCCAUCUGACAAAAAUACACUGGUCCUCUGGAUUUUCUGAGAUGUCAGCUAUGGCCUGUGUGCAUAAUGGCCAAUAUGCCAGGGGGUAUUUAAAGUGUAGAGUAAUGACAUUAAAUCAGGUCUCAAAGAGAAGGUGAAAAGAAUACUCUUCUACCAUGACUCAACUGAAUUAUUUAUUUUAAAUAAAAACGACCAUGGUAAUCUCACGAUCAUGGAUCCUCCACCAGUAUAAACCAGUGCAGUGCCAAUGAAGUACAUGCAAAU
Molecule: long non-coding RNA, 766 nt
Organism: Mauremys reevesii (Reeves's turtle)
Lineage: Eukaryota; Metazoa; Chordata; Testudines; Geoemydidae
Exons: 4
Source: RefSeq, a predicted model, not a curated record